This 591-nucleotide unclassified non-coding RNA is filed under the name Sarocladium strictum. RNAcentral describes it as "sequence contains 18S rRNA gene, ITS1, 5.8S rRNA gene, ITS2, 28S rRNA gene". The stretch from base 210 to 363 matches the Rfam family "5.8S ribosomal RNA". The record is from RNAcentral. Lineage: Eukaryota; Fungi; Ascomycota; Sordariomycetes; Hypocreales; Sarocladiaceae.
UCGUAACAAGGUCUCCGUUGGUGAACCAGCGGAGGGAUCAUUACCAGAGUGCCCUAGGCUCUCCAACCCAUUGUGAACUUACCAAACGUUCCCUCGGCGGGCUCAGCGCGCGGUGGCCUCCGGGCCUCCGGGCGUCCGCCGGGGAAAACCAAACCCUGAUUUAAUCGUAUUUCUCUGAGGGGCGAAAGCCCGAAAACAAAAUGAAUCAAAACUUUCAACAACGGAUCUCUUGGCUCUGGCAUCGAUGAAGAACGCAGCGAAAUGCGAUAAGUAAUGUGAAUUGCAGAAUUCAGUGAAUCAUCGAAUCUUUGAACGCACAUUGCGCCCGCCGGCACUCCGGCGGGCAUGCCUGUCCGAGCGUCAUUUCAACCCUCAGGCCCACCCUUCCGGGGGAGCGGGCCUGGUGCUGGGGAUCGGCGGCCCUCGCGGCCCCCGUCCCUCAAAUACAGUGGCGGUCGCGCCGCAGCCUCCCCUGCGUAGUAGCACAACCUCGCACCGGAGAGCGGAACGACCACGCCGUGAAACACCCAAUUUUUUCAGGUUGACCUCGGAUCAGGUAGGAAUACCCGCUGAACUUAAGCAUAUCAAUAA